RNAcentral lists this ribosomal RNA (253 nucleotides) under uncultured bacterium. Its description in RNAcentral is "partial 16S ribosomal RNA". It matches the Rfam family "Bacterial small subunit ribosomal RNA", at positions 524 to 776 of the family's 1533-position model. The record is from RNAcentral.
UACAGAGGUCUCAAGCGUUGUUCGGAUUCAUUGGGCGUAAAGGGUGUGUAGGUGGCGCGCUAAGUCGGGUGUGAAAUUUCGGAGCUUAACUCCGAAACUGCAUUCGAUACUGGCGUGCUUGAGGACUGGAGAGGAGACUGGAAUUCAUGGUGUAGCAGUGAAAUGCGUAGAGAUCAUGAGGAAGACCAGUGGCGAAGGCGGGUCUCUGGGCAUUAACUGACGCUGAGGAGCGAAAGCAUGGGGAGCGAACAGG